GACAGAGGAUGCAAGCGUUAUCUGGAAUGAUUGGGUGUAAAGCGUCUGUAGGUGGCUUUUUAAGUCCGCCGUCAAAUUCCAGGGCUCAACCCUGGACAGGCGGUGGAAACUACCAAGCUGGAGUACGAUAGGGGCAGAGGGAAUUUUCGGUGGAGCGGUGAAAUGCGUAGAGAUCGGAAAGAACACCAACGGCGAAAGCACUCUGCUGGGCCGACACUGACACUGAGAGACGAAAGCUAGGGGAGAGAAUGGG
This 253-nucleotide ribosomal RNA is filed under the name uncultured bacterium. RNAcentral describes it as "partial 16S ribosomal RNA". It matches the Rfam family "Bacterial small subunit ribosomal RNA", at positions 524 to 776 of the family's 1533-position model. The record is from RNAcentral.